ACCCUGUCCUCGCCCGCCACUCACCGGCGCCAGGGGAACGCAGGAGCGUGAGCCCCUUCGCGCCCCCAGCGCCGUCGGCGUCGCUGCCCCAGACACAGACACUGCCUCGAGAGGCCUCACAGAGGCGGGGGCAGAAGGCGGCGACCCAGAGCCGCCACAUCCCCCGCCUUGGGCGCCGUCACAGUCCCCAGACGCCCUGGACUCCUGCAGUCUACGAAGACGCGCGGGGGACGGCGUGGUUCCGAGAGAGGGCGCCAAAGGCGACGUGCCGGCCGCCAGCUCCAGGCCGAGCCCCGAGCGCCUGCAGGAACACGCCCCUUCACCCGGCGCGGGACGCAGAGCUGCGAGAGAAUCUUGUUCAGCGCGGACUCAACGCCAGGGCGCCGCCUAGAGGUUGGUCUCUGUCUCGGCCUCACCCGCCGGGAGACCACAGAGCUGCUUCCCCAGCCGCCCGCCGCCAGAAAUUGGAAAAAAAAAAAAAAAAAAAAAAAAAAUCCAGCUGGGGUCUAGGAACUCGGCUUCUGGCACCUCUGAAUUCUCCGAGACUGUCUCCUCCCUCCCCGCCUGUAAUGAACCCUGUGAAGGGAGACAGGCCAGGAAGUCCCAGAAAUAUUUAUUCUUGUGACUCUCACAAAAUGGAAAAGGGUCUCAAUUUUUGUUUCUUUAAGGAACUUGUGUUCUGCGUCUGUGUCUACACUGCCUCCUCUCACCAACCAAAUUGUCUAGCCCCCCUCCAGUUACGCUAGAACUCUGCUUUAUCUUCAAGGAAGAAAGGGAGUGGGGAGAAGUUACCUCUAAACCCUCCAGCAUGGCCAUCAAUUUUCUGAAUAAUUUGGAGGUCAACAUGCUUUUGGAAAAGUGUUUGGAAAACGUUUGGGGGUGAAAAGAAAUGUUGCCUAACUGGCCUUUACUCACGGAGUGACCAUCAUCUCAGCUAGUUAGUGUAUGAGCGGCACCAGCACCCCGGCCAUGGGUGUCUGUGCUGAGCCUCUGAAAGUUGACUUAUCCUUUGGGGAGCCCUCGGAAAGACACAGCUGGUAUCUAUGGGAAUGGCUUUGGGGUGUCCUUUGGCACCAUACAGAUAAUUUUGUUUUUUUA
RNAcentral lists this long non-coding RNA (1098 nucleotides) under Homo sapiens (human). RNAcentral's name for it is "HSALNT0390439". Lineage: Eukaryota; Metazoa; Chordata; Mammalia; Primates; Hominidae. The record is from RNAcentral.